Molecule: ribosomal RNA, 625 nt
Filed under: uncultured bacterium
Lineage: Bacteria
Description: bacterial SSU rRNA
Rfam family: Bacterial small subunit ribosomal RNA
Source: RNAcentral
CCUACGGGAGGCAGCAGUAAGGAAUAUUGGUCAAUGGACGCAAGUCUGAACCAGCCAUGCCGCGUGAAGGAUUAAGGUCCUCUGGAUUGUAAACUUCUUUUAUAUGGGACGAAAACAGAUCUUUCUAGGUCCUUUGACGGUACCAUAUGAAUAAGCACCGGCUAACUCCGUGCCAGCAGCCGCGGUAAUACGGAGGGUGCAAGCGUUAUCCGGAUUCACUGGGUUUAAAGGGUGCGUAGGCGGGUAGGUAAGUCAGUGGUGAAAUCCUGGAGCUCAACUCCAGAACUGCCAUUGAUACUAUCUAUCUUGAAUAUUGUGGAGGUAAGCGGAAUAUGUCAUGUAGCGGUGAAAUGCUUGGAUAUGACAUAGAACACCCAUUGCGAAGGCAGCUUACUACGCAUAUAUUGACGCUGAGGCACGAAAGCGUGGGGAUCAAACAGGAUUAGAUACCCUGGUAGUCCACGCCCUAAGCGAUGGAUACUCGACAUACGCGAUACACAGUGUGUGUCUGAGCGAAAGCAUUAAGUAUCCCACCCUGGGAAGUACGUUCGCAAGAAUGAAACUCAAAGUUAGAAGUUAGGACGGCGUUGGAGACGUUCGACCGAGGACACGACGAGGGAGAGGG